CUUUGCCUCAGCCAGCCGCUCCUGGAAUUUCUUCUUGAAGAAGAGGGCUUGCAGUCGCUGCUGGUAGUGGUCGAUCCUGCAGACAAGGAGGUCAAUGUCACUCUUCUCUGGGAUGAACUUGAGGAGCUGCAAAGAGCAGGCGCAAGUCACACAAGCAACUGGGUGAAGACAAUGAGGAUGAAGACCUUUAUGAUGAUCCACCUCCACUCAAUGAACAGUAUCUUUUAAUGAUUUUCUUUUUUUUUCUGAUGGAGUCUCACUCUGUUGCCCAGGCUGGAGUGCAAUGGCACCA
Nomascus leucogenys (northern white-cheeked gibbon) is the source of this 292-nucleotide long non-coding RNA. RefSeq lists it as uncharacterized. NCBI's taxonomy places the organism in Eukaryota, Metazoa, Chordata, Mammalia, Primates, Hylobatidae. The record is from RefSeq and is a predicted model, not a curated record. The transcript has 3 exons.